UCUGGAUGAGUUGCGAACGGGUGAGUAACGCGUAGGUAACCUGCCUGGUAGCGGGGGAUAACUAUUGGAAACGAUAGCUAAUACCGCAUAACAGUAGAUGUUGCAUGACAUUUACUUAAAAGGUGCAAUUGCAUCACUACCAGAUGGACCUGCGUUGUAUUAGCUAGUUGGUGGGGUAACGGCUCACCAAGGCGACGAUACAUAGCCGACCUGAGAGGGUGAUCGGCCACACUGGGACUGAGACACGGCCCAGACUCCUACGGGAGGCAGCAGUAGGGAAUCUUCGGCAAUGGACGGAAGUCUGACCGAGCAACGCCGCGUGAGUGAA
RNAcentral lists this ribosomal RNA (328 nucleotides) under uncultured Streptococcus sp. RNAcentral's name for it is "bacterial SSU rRNA". It matches the Rfam family "Bacterial small subunit ribosomal RNA", at positions 86 to 409 of the family's 1533-position model. Lineage: Bacteria; Bacillati; Bacillota; Bacilli; Lactobacillales; Streptococcaceae. The record is from RNAcentral.